AUACGGAGGAUGCAAGCGUUAUCCGGAUUUAUUGGGUUUAAAGGGUGCGUAGGCGGUUUGCUAAGCGGGAGGUGAAAUGCCGGCGCUCAACGUCGGAAGUGCCUCCCGAACUGGUGGACUGGAAUGACUCUGCCGUGGGAGGAAUGUGUAGUGUAGCGGUGAAAUGCUUAGAGAUUACACAGAACACCGAUUGCGAAGGCAUCUCACGAAGGGUUGAUUGACGCUGAGGCACGAAAGCGUGGGGAUCAAACAGGAUUAGAUACCCUGGUAGUCCACGCAGUAAACGAUGAUGGCCAACCGCUGGUUUUUUCGGAUCAGUGGCCAAGCGAAAGCGAUAAGCCAUCCACCUGGGGAGUACGACCGCAAGGUUGAAACUCAAAUGAAUUGACGGGG
RNAcentral lists this ribosomal RNA (393 nucleotides) under uncultured bacterium. RNAcentral's name for it is "partial 16S ribosomal RNA". It matches the Rfam family "Bacterial small subunit ribosomal RNA", at positions 523 to 918 of the family's 1533-position model. The record is from RNAcentral.